Molecule: ribosomal RNA, 497 nt
Filed under: uncultured bacterium
Lineage: Bacteria
Description: partial 16S ribosomal RNA
Rfam family: Bacterial small subunit ribosomal RNA
Source: RNAcentral
GACGAACGCUGGCGGCGUGCCUAAUACAUGCAAGUAGAACGCUGAAACUUGGUGCUUGCACCGAGCGGAUGAGUUGCGAACGGGUGAGUAACGCGUAGGUAACCUGCCUGGUAGCGGGGGAUAACUAUUGGAAACGAUAGCUAAUACCGCAUAAGAGUAGAUGUUGCAUGACAUUUGCUUAAAAGGUGCAAUUGCACCACUACCAGAUGGACCUGCGUUGUAUUAGCUAGUUGGUGGGGUAACGGCUCACCAAGGCGACGAUACAUAGCCGACCUGAGAGGGUGAUCGGCCACACUGGGACUGAGACACGGCCCAGACUCCUACGGGAGGCAGCAGUAGGGAAUCUUCGGCAAUGGACGGAAGUCUGACCGAGCAACGCCGCGUGAGUGAAGAAGGUUUUCGGAUCGUAAAGCUCUGUUGUAAGAGAAGAACGAGUGUGAGAGUGGAAAGUUCACACUGUGACUGUAUCUUACCAGAAAGGGACGGCUAACUACGUG